UAUAAAAACUUUUUAAUCGAUCAACGAUCAGAAAGAUAAUUCCAUCUGAAUUUUUCGGACAAUCAACGAGGAAAUGUAAUUGAUUUAUCUGAAACAAGAUCAUGAUCGCCCUACUGAAGUAUCAACUUCUGAUAAUCCACUUGUUGUAAAUGAUAAUCGGUCCAUCGAAGUGUUAACCUCUAAAAACAUUAAAGCAGCAUCUUGUUAUAUAGAACACCAGUUGAACGAUUCUGAAUUAUCAAGAGAAAAUUCAGAAAACUAUUUGCCAUUGCGUUUGACAAGCGCGGGUGGAUCAAUGUCUAGUGGGGAAGCAUUAACUUUUCUUGAUGAUGAUUAUAUAAAAGGAUAAGAGAUUGCUAUCAAGAUUAAAGUUGUUAAUGAUGUAGCGGAGAGAGAGAGAGCUGUACAAUUGGCUCAAGAAUGUAUAAAUAUGGUAGCUAAAGAUGAGAAUCAAAAACAAUAUCUUCUCCAGGUGAUAAAAAAGUAUAAGAAUGAAUUUUCAAAUGCUACUAAGGAAUGCCUGACAACAAAAAUAAAAGUUCAAUAAUUAA
Molecule: long non-coding RNA, 551 nt
Filed under: Cotesia glomerata
Lineage: Eukaryota; Metazoa; Arthropoda; Insecta; Hymenoptera; Braconidae
Description: uncharacterized LOC123259283
Source: RNAcentral